CCUACGGGAGGCAGCAGUGGGGAAUAUUGGACAAUGGGGGGAACCCUGAUCCAGCGACGCCGCGUGAGUGAAGAAGUAUUUCGGUAUGUAAAGCUCUAUCAGCAGGGAAGAAAGAAAUGACGGUACCUGACUAAGAAGCCCCGGCUAACUACGUGCCAGCAGCCGCGGUAAUACGUAGGUGGCAAGCGUUGUCCGGAUUUACUGGGGGUAAAGGGCGGGCAGCCGGGAAGACAAGUCAGAUGUGAAAUCCCGCGGCUCAACCGCGGAACUGCAUUUGAAACUGUUUUUCUUGAGUACCGGAGAGGUCAUCGGAAUUCCUUGUGUAGCGGUGAAAUGCGUAGAUAUAAGGAAGAACACCAUUGGCGAAGGCGGAUGACUGGAUGGCAACUGACGGUGAGGCGCGAAAGCGUGGGGAGCAAACAGGAUUAGAUACCCUGGUAGUC
RNAcentral lists this ribosomal RNA (443 nucleotides) under uncultured bacterium. RNAcentral's name for it is "partial 16S ribosomal RNA". It matches the Rfam family "Bacterial small subunit ribosomal RNA", at positions 338 to 795 of the family's 1533-position model. The record is from RNAcentral.